Molecule: long non-coding RNA, 1878 nt
Filed under: Oryzias sinensis (Chinese medaka)
Lineage: Eukaryota; Metazoa; Chordata; Actinopteri; Beloniformes; Adrianichthyidae
Description: lncRNA (ENSOSIG00000005447.1)
Source: RNAcentral
CCAUCUUCUCCUGAUAAUCCAGAUCCGGGUCUCAGCAGAGAGUCCCAGACCUCCUUUUCCACAUGAACUUCCUCCAGAUCUGCUGUGAUUGGAUGGGUGAUCCGCUGGAGUUUUCUGAGUCCUUCGGUGGACGGUGUUGGUAGAGGACUGCUCCCCCUCAAGGCUCUUAAUGGUUUGCCAGACGUUUUUUGAGGUUGAACAAUGGUUCUUGUCCGUGAGGUUCCUGAACGCCUCCCAGACCGGACUUCUUCUUGCUGCCUGCUCUGCAUGCCGCUUGGACUGUCCAUACCGGAGACUUUGACCGUCCAGACCACCACGGGGUUUGUGGCUUGAAGCCAGACUGGUGACAUGAAUAAAAGGGAGCGACUUCUUCUGCAGAACAUGGUUUAAAUAUCUCCGUCUGCUGCUGUAGACUAGAACCACGGCGCUCCAAUGAUCCACUUAAAGUCCAGACCUCAACCUGGUUCAGAAGCUGAGGUGGAGCAUCAGAGAGAUGAACGCUGGAAAAGGGGGCGGAGCUGAAGCUCUUGCUGCUCUUCCUCCUCCCCCUCUGAGUUCUUCCUCCUGCGGGCGCGACAGAAGAAGGAAGUCGGCUUCUCCUCACAGCUUCACACAGACGGGCGCACAGUGACUUUGUCCGGAUCAGAGAUUUCCAGACUUGAUGAUCAUAGACCAGGUGAGCGGCUUUCCUUUCAUUUUCACUCUGACUGUCAGAGCUUAGCUGGAGAGCAUCGGCUUCCCGCUGUUUCUCAGUCUUUGGAGUGGUUGACAUGUUUCCGGGCGUCUCUCCUCUGUAGCGGAGUGAAGUCCUUCCCUUCACAGUAAACGUUCUAUGCAGAUGAUGCAGCAUUUUAAAUGUCAGAUUUGGGUCUUUGUGACCGAACGCCAUUCAGUGAGAUUUGACCAGAUUUUGAAAUUCCUUUAAAACGUUGUGUUCAGAGGAGGGGCUCAUCAAAAUGACAACCACCACCAGAGUGUGCCCUGUGUGAAAUCUGUCCGUCAGUUUUGUCCCUUUAUGCAAAUGUAGACAGAAAAACUUCUUUGUAAACAUUUUCAUGUUUCUGUCCCGCCCACUCCUCCCGUUCUUUAAUUCAGCAUUUGGUUCCAAACUUCUGGAUUAAUUAAAAAGUCUAUUUUCUGCUGCACAACGGAAGGACUCGAUAGAAGUUUCCCAUGAGAGCGAUCUAAAAAACAAGCUUUUCCAGCCUCUGAUUACAGUGAUGCAGUUCCCAUGAGUCAGUGUUAGUUGCGGCUUUUAUGACUGCUGUAGCUACAGCUACAACCAGAGACCUGAGGAAAAUGAUGAAACAAGGAUCCAGAUUAUCCCAGCUCCAACCAACCAGCAUCCGUCCGAGUACCGGGGCUUCAUCAUAUUUUCUGGACGUCUUCUAGUCGGGGCUCAGGCGGUUGAGCAGGUCGUCCAUUGAUCGAAGGGUCGGUGGUUUGACCCCCCCCCCCCAGCCAACCGUUGUUGUGUCCUUGGGCAAGACACUUUCCUCCCUGCCUCCACUGGUGCAUGAAUGGUCAAAGGCGCCAACUGGCAGCCACGCCUCCAUCAGUCUGCCCCAGGGCAGCUGUGGUUCAUCAGUAGUUACCAUCACCAAGUAUGAAUGAAUAACGGACACAUUGGAAGAACUUUGAGCGUCUGGAAAAGCAGAUAAAUCUGAUCUGUUAAUAGUCCCAAAAUGAAAAGACAGAACUUUACAGUUAAACUUUGAAUCUUUAUUUUUAUAACACUUUUCAUCUGGAACAGAAGACAAAGUGCUUUGCACCAGAACAAACACAUAAAACAAGCACAAUAAUAUAAAAAUAAGAAUAAAGCCCCCAUCCCCUUAAACUUCUUCAUCAUCCAGGGUCUUCAUCUGUAGAGAAACCUCU